AUUGAACGCUGGCGGCAUGCCUUACACAUGCAAGUCGAGCGCGAAAGGGGGCAACCCCGAGUAGAGCGGCGGACGGGUGAGUAACGCAUCGGAACGUGCCCAGUAGUGGGGGACAACCUCGAGAAAUCGAGGCUAAUACCGCAUACGACCCACGGGUGAAAGCGGGGGACCGCAAGGCCUCGCGCUAUUGGAGCGGCCGAUGUCCGAUUAGCUAGUUGGCGGGAUAAGAGCCCACCAAGGCGACGAUCGGUAGCUGGUCUGAGAGGACGACCAGCCACACUGGGACUGAGACACGGCCCAGACUCCUACGGGAGGCAGCAGUGGGGAAUUUUGGACAAUGGGGGCAACCCUGAUCCAGCCAUGCCGCGUGCGGGAAGAAGGCCUUCGGUUGUAA
RNAcentral lists this ribosomal RNA (394 nucleotides) under uncultured bacterium. RNAcentral's name for it is "bacterial SSU rRNA". It matches the Rfam family "Bacterial small subunit ribosomal RNA", at positions 29 to 428 of the family's 1533-position model. The record is from RNAcentral.